CACGUCAGCGCGACUUGCUGACAUGGAAGGAAGUCGCUCCCUAAAGGAUGCGAUUUCCUUCCAAGUCAGCAAGUCGCGCUGACGUGG
This is a non-coding RNA of Gossypium raimondii (Peruvian cotton), 87 nucleotides long. The record is from Rfam. NCBI's taxonomy places the organism in Eukaryota, Viridiplantae, Streptophyta, Magnoliopsida, Malvales, Malvaceae.